UGGGGAAUAUUGCACAAUGGGCGCAAGCCUGAUGCAGCCAUGCCGCGUGUAUGAAGAAGGCCUUCGGGUUGUAAAGUACUUUCAGCGGGGAGGAAGGGAGUAAAGUUAAUACCUUUGCUCAUUGACGUUAUCCGCAGAAGAAGCACCGGCUAACUCCGUGCCAGCAGCCGCGGUAAUACGGAGGGUGCAAGCGUUAAUCGGAAUUACUGGGCGUAAAGCGCACGCAGGCGGUUUGUUAAGUCAGAUGUGAAAUCCCCGGGCUCAACCUGGGAACUGCAUCUGAUACUGGCAAGCUUGAGUCUCGUAGAGGGGGGUAGAAUUCCAGGUGUAGCGGUGAAAUGCGUAGAGAUCUGGAGGAAUACCGGUGGCGAAGGCGGCCCCCUGGACGAAGACUGACGCUCAGGUGCGAAAGCGUGGGGAGCAAACAGG
Molecule: ribosomal RNA, 429 nt
Filed under: Acidobacteriota bacterium
Lineage: Bacteria; Pseudomonadati; Acidobacteriota
Also listed under: 1 other name
Description: Acidobacteria bacterium partial 16S ribosomal RNA
Rfam family: Bacterial small subunit ribosomal RNA
Source: RNAcentral